RNAcentral lists this ribosomal RNA (504 nucleotides) under uncultured bacterium. RNAcentral describes it as "partial 16S ribosomal RNA". It matches the Rfam family "Bacterial small subunit ribosomal RNA", at positions 29 to 523 of the family's 1533-position model. The record is from RNAcentral.
AUUGAACGCUGGCGGCAGGCCUAACACAUGCAAGUCGAACGGUAGCACAGAGAGCUUGCUCUCGGGUGACGAGUGGCGGACGGGUGAGUAACGUCUGGGAAACUGCCCGAUGGAGGGGGAUAACUACUGGAAACGGUAGCUAAUACCGCAUAACGUCGCAAGACCAAAGUGGGGGACCUUCGGGCCUCACACCAUCGGAUGUGCCCAGAUGGGAUUAGCUAGUAGGUGGGGUAAUGGCUCACCUAGGCGACGAUCCCUAGCUGGUCUGAGAGGAAGACCAGCCACACCGAAACUGAGACACGGGCCAGACUCCUACGGGAGGCAGCAGUGGGGAAUAUUGCACAAUGGGCGCAAGCCUGAUGCAGCCAUGCCGCGUGUAUGAAGAAGGCCUUCGGGUUGUAAAGUACUUUCAGCGGGGAGGAAGGCGGUGAAGUUAAUAGCUUCACCGAUUGACGUUACCCGCAGAAGAAGCACCGGCUAACUCCGUGCCAGCAGCCGCAGUAA